This 565-nucleotide ribosomal RNA is filed under the name uncultured bacterium. Its description in RNAcentral is "bacterial SSU rRNA". It matches the Rfam family "Bacterial small subunit ribosomal RNA", at positions 358 to 916 of the family's 1533-position model. The record is from RNAcentral.
GGAAUUUUGGACAAUGAACGCAAGUCUGAUCCAGCCAUUCCGCGUGCAGGAUGAAGGCCCUCGGGUUGUAAACUGCUUUUGUACGGAACGAAAAGGUCUCUAUUAAUACUAGGGGCUCAUGACGGUACCGUAAGAAUAAGCACCGGCUAACUACGUGCCAGCAGCCGCGGUAAUACGUAGGGUGCGAGCGUUAAUCGGAAUUACUGGGCGUAAAGCGUGCGCAGGCGGUUAUACAAGACAGGCGUGAAAUCCCCGGGCUUAACCUGGGAAUGGCGUCUGUGACUGUAUAGCUAGAGUGUGUCAGAGGGGGGUGGAAUUCCACGUGUAGCAGUGAAAUGCGUAGAUAUGUGGAGGAACACCAAUGGCGAAGGCAGCCCCCUGGGAUAACACUGACGCUCAUGCACGAAAGCGUGGGGAGCAAACAGGAUUAGAUACCCUGGUAGUCCACGCCCUAAACGAUGCUGACUAGUUGUUGGGAAUUUACAUUCUCAGUAACGUAGCUAACGCGUGAAGUCAGCCGCCUGGGGAGUACGGUCGCAAGAUUAAAACUCAAAGGAAUUGACGG